This 288-nucleotide ribosomal RNA is filed under the name Bacillus sp. (in: firmicutes). RNAcentral's name for it is "Bacillus sp. (in: Bacteria) partial 16S ribosomal RNA". It matches the Rfam family "Bacterial small subunit ribosomal RNA", at positions 40 to 321 of the family's 1533-position model. The record is from RNAcentral. Lineage: Bacteria; Bacillati; Bacillota; Bacilli; Caryophanales; Bacillaceae.
CGGCGGCGUCUAUACAUGCAGUCGAGCGGACAGAAGGGAGCUUGCUCCCGGAUGUUAGCGGCGGACGGGUGAGUAACACGUGGGUAACCUGCCUGUAAGACUGGGAUAACUCCGGGAAACCGGAGCUAAUACCGGAUAGUUCCUUGAACCGCAUGGUUCAGGAUGAAAGACGGUUUCGGCUGUCACUUACAGAUGGACCCGCGGCGCAUUAACUAGUUGGUGAGGUAACGGCUCACCAAGGCGACGAUGCGUAGCCGACCUGACAGGCUGAUCGGCCCCCUGGGACUG